This is a non-coding RNA of Vararia minispora EC-137, 93 nucleotides long. The record is from the annotation of a GenBank genome assembly. Lineage: Eukaryota; Fungi; Basidiomycota; Agaricomycetes; Russulales; Lachnocladiaceae.
GGCACUAUAGCCAAGUGGUUACGGCGACAGAUUCGAAUGCUCAGUUCCAUCUGUUGGGGUUCCCCCGCGCAGGUUCGAAUCCUGCUGGUGUCG